RNAcentral lists this unclassified non-coding RNA (244 nucleotides) under Fusarium sp. Its description in RNAcentral is "partial contains 5.8S ribosomal RNA, internal transcribed spacer 2, and large subunit ribosomal RNA". The record is from RNAcentral. Lineage: Eukaryota; Fungi; Ascomycota; Sordariomycetes; Hypocreales; Nectriaceae.
CGCACAUUGCGCCCGCCAGUAUUCUGGCGGGCAUGCCUGUUCGAGCGUCAUUUCAACCCUCAAGCCCAGCUUGGUGUUGGGACUCGCGAGUCAAAUCGCGUUCCCCAAAUUGAUUGGCGGUCACGUCGAGCUUCCAUAGCGUAGUAGUAAAACCCUCGUUACUGGUAAUCGUCGCGGCCACGCCGUUAAACCCCAACUUCUGAAUGUUGACCUCGGAUCAGGUAGGAAUACCCGCUGAACUUAA